CCAUACCACCCUGAACAUGCCCAAUCUCAUCCUGAUCUUGGAAGCUAAACAGGGUUCGGGCCUGGUUAUAGUACUUGGAUGGGAGACACAUAUAUCAAAAUACCACAUUGUAGGGACGCCUGGGUG
Molecule: ribosomal RNA, 126 nt
Filed under: Canis lupus dingo (dingo)
Lineage: Eukaryota; Metazoa; Chordata; Mammalia; Carnivora; Canidae
Source: RNAcentral